This 253-nucleotide ribosomal RNA is filed under the name uncultured bacterium. RNAcentral's name for it is "partial 16S ribosomal RNA". It matches the Rfam family "Bacterial small subunit ribosomal RNA", at positions 524 to 776 of the family's 1533-position model. The record is from RNAcentral.
UACGUAGGGGGCAAGCGUUGUCCGGAUUUAUUGGGCGUAAAGAGCGUGUAGGCGGCCAGAUAAGUCUGCUGUGAAAACUCGAGGCUCAACCUCGAGCUGUCGGCGGAAACUAUUUGGCUAGAGUCCGGAAGAGGAAAGCGGAAUUCCUGGUGUAGCGGUGAAAUGCGCAGAUAUCAGGAAGAACACCAGUAGCGAAGGCGGCUCGCUGGGCCAUUCCUGACGCUGAGACGCGAAAGCUAGGGGAGCGAACAGG